RNAcentral lists this ribosomal RNA (119 nucleotides) under Rodentolepis nana. The record is from RNAcentral. Lineage: Eukaryota; Metazoa; Platyhelminthes; Cestoda; Cyclophyllidea; Hymenolepididae.
GUCAGCGACCAUAUCAUGUAGGAAGGACCGGUUCUCGUCCGAUCACCGAGGUAAAACUACAUCGGACCGGGUUAGUACUUGUAUGGGUGACCGGCUGGAAAUACCCGAUGCUGAUGACU